AUAAAAAUAUCGCAAAACAACAACAUCGCGGCAUUUCUAAUAGCAGACUUUGGUCAUUGCUUGCUCAAGUUAUGCCAAAAUUAUUGCGCUUCAUGAAGCACACCAAAAAGAUGUAUGGCUUAGAUUAACGCCAUCAACAUAUACAAGAAGCAAGCACUAUAGUCACCAGUGAAGAGCCAACAACAAGACAAUGUUGUAUGUGUUUCCCAAUUCAAUGGAAGAAACAAUGUAGCAGAAAGGCGCUUCCAGCUACAACAUUUAGAAAGCUUCUUCACAUAUCAAAAUGAAUCAUUUGAAGAAGAUGCUUACAAGGGGAGACAUAUGAUGAUGAGCAUGGCUGUACUCUUUGUCCCUUAUCAUAGUUUUUAUCCCACUGGGUUUUUCCAUGAAAAGAUUUUUAACGAGACAGCAAAGAACACGCAAAAUAUAGACAAGAAAAUAAAGGUCUAUCUCUCUUCCGAAAUCUUUGUCAUAUAAUGGCAAGAUCAAACGGGGCGAAGAGAAUGAUCGAGAUGCAUCAUCUACGAAAGCUAUGAAGAGAACACGUCUCGUUUGUUACAGAAGGAGAUUAUGUCACUGCACUAUUUUCUUUGUCAUGGGUUUUAUCCUAUACGAUUUUUUCAUGAUAAAGUUUUAACGAGGCAGUACGUAACUCAACAAAAAUUAUGGAUAUUCAAAGGGGAGUGUUAUAAAAUAUGAUGAUUAUCCAUCAUUUACUUAACUCCUAAGUAGCUUCCUCUCUAAGCUAUUGUGGAUAAUUUUAUUUCCUCUCUAAGCUAUUGUGGAUAAUUUUAUCCAAAUUUAACAUAACUUUGGCCCAAGUUACUUUAGUAUAUAUAUGUAGUCGACUAAAGUUGAUUUGU
RNAcentral lists this small RNA (863 nucleotides) under Arabidopsis thaliana (thale cress). RNAcentral's name for it is "ATSL155890". Lineage: Eukaryota; Viridiplantae; Streptophyta; Magnoliopsida; Brassicales; Brassicaceae. The record is from RNAcentral.